GCAACCCUCAUCCUUAGUUACCAACAGGUAAUGCUGGGCACUCUAAGGAAACUGCCAGUGAUAAACUGGAGGAAGGUGGGGAUGAUGUCAAAUCAGCACGGCCCUUAUAAGGUGGGCUACACACGUGCUACAAUGGCAACUACAAUAGGUUGCGAGACCGCAAGGUUUAGCUAAUCCAUAAAAGUUGUCUCAGUUCGGAUUGUUCUCUGCAACUCGAGAGCAUGAAGUCGGAAUCGCUAGUAAUCGUGGAUCAUCACGCCACGGUGAAUACGUUCUCGGGUCUUGUACACACUGCCCGUCACGCCAUGGGAAUUGGCUUAACUCGAAGCUGGUGUGCUAACCGCAAGGAAGCAGCCAUUUAAGGUUGGGUCAGUGACUAGGGUG
RNAcentral lists this ribosomal RNA (384 nucleotides) under uncultured Ehrlichia sp. RNAcentral describes it as "bacterial SSU rRNA". It matches the Rfam family "Bacterial small subunit ribosomal RNA", at positions 1098 to 1482 of the family's 1533-position model. The record is from RNAcentral. Lineage: Bacteria; Pseudomonadati; Pseudomonadota; Alphaproteobacteria; Rickettsiales; Anaplasmataceae.